Non-coding RNA from Ictidomys tridecemlineatus (thirteen-lined ground squirrel), 4023 nucleotides. Lineage: Eukaryota; Metazoa; Chordata; Mammalia; Rodentia; Sciuridae. The record is from RefSeq and is a predicted model, not a curated record.
AAUACAGUUGAUCAACCUUAUCACUUUCUACCUUGCUAAAUUUGCUUAUUGUAUUUUUUUUUUGUGUAAAUCCAUUGAGAUUUUCUAUACAGAUAAUUGUAUUGUCUGAGAAUAGACACAGCUUUACCUUUACCAUGCCUUGCUGCCAUACUGGCUAGGAUUUCCAGAAUAAUGCUGAAUAGAAGCAGUGAAUUCAAAAAUCCUUGCCCCGUAGUUGAUUUCAGGGAAGAAGUAUUCAGUCUUUCACCAUUAAGUAUGAUAACAGCUGUAGGAUUUUUUGUAGAUGCCCAUUAUCAGGCUGAGAAAACUCCCUUCUAUUUCUAGUUUGUUGAAUCUUAUAAAACUUUAUGUGUUUUUAAUUCUAUCAAAUAUUUUGUGUGCAUCUAAUGAAAUGAUCAUAUAAUUUUUAUCCUUUAUUUUGUCAAUGUGGUAAAACAUGCUGAGAGCCAAAAUUCAUAAUGUUUAAAAUUAAUGAAUGAUGAAUUAGCAAUAAGUAUGAAUUUAGAAAUUUGGAGAUAAUCAGAAGAAGAAAUAGUGAAGAAAAAUUUGACAGUUUUUUAGGAGCAUGCCUACUUGGGAAUGGAAACUGGUUAAUAAAACUUUACACAAUACAAAUGUAAUGAUGGUAAUUUUUAAAAAGCCUUUUAUAAUAAUUCUUUAAACAUGAAAAUAAUAUUACAAAUUUUAAAAAUUAAAAAUAAGUUGAAGGGAAGAUGUGAAGAUGAUCUCUAUGAAGAUGUAGAGCUAAGGCUGGCUGGAGGGUCAAGGGUAGAGGAAAAAUGAAUUCAGCUUUAUUUUCAUGUUUCAGUGACAUACUCAGAAGACACUCCUCAUUCAGCUGGAUAUACUUGGCAGCAAGAGAGAGUUGAAGAAAAAGAUUUGGGAGAAACACCUGGAGCAGGCAGUAUGAAGUAAAGAAAUUCCAUUGUUUUAUCUCAGCUGAUGAAAGAGUUCAAGAAGAAAUGAUCAACAUGAACUGUAGAUACAAGAGAGCACUGAUUGAAUAUCCAUGUUAGUUAGUGGGUCAUUUAAAAGCUGAGAGCAGAAGAAAUUUUAGAAGUGUCUUUAAAAUUUUUUAUUUAACAGGGUACAGAAGGUGUGAUGAUUCAGAAGUAAUGAGUCAUUUAAAAAUAAUAAAACUAUUGCUUUGCCUGGAAAACAUAGGCAAUCAUUCAUGGAUGACUCAAUAUGGAAAUUGCUUCUAAGAGUCAAGAGGAAUACAAAACAGGUACCCAUAGAACUACUUGAUGGAUAAAAUGAUGAGACCUGGGAUAUUCAAUUUAUUUUUACUUCAAAUAUAGUUGAGAAAAUAAAUUGACAAAGGGAACUUGUCUCAAAAGGGAUUAUUUUCUGAUGUUCAAAGAAACUAUGUAUGUAAAAUGAAAGAAAAAUUAACACUUUAGAUUUAGUAAUAUAAUAAUAUUACUAAAAGUAAUAUAAUAAUAUUCCAAGAGCAGGCCUAAUUUGAGCAUAUAAAAUUAGGAAGUGCUUUAAAACUUACUUUUAUCUUUCUUACCGUAGAGGAAUAAAGUGUGGUUAAGGGAAAAGCAUCAGGUGGGCAGUAAGGAGCUCCUGGUCCAGCUUCAGCUUCUGUACUGUCUACUUUGGUAGUCUGAUAACUUGGUCAAGUCACUUCAGUCACCGAGAUUUCACCUUCUCCUCUGCGGGGUGGGAAAAAAAACAUGCUGAAAGAUGGCUUUGAGGUCCAGACAACAUGAGAAAAACAAAACUUGUUUUUUUUUCUUGGUUUCAAUUAGGGAAAUGUUAUAUUUUGCCAGCAAACUAUUUUUUAUUAUUUGAUGGAAGAUAAUGAACUGGCUAUUCAUAUUUAAUUGCAAAACUAUGGAUUUCCCUGAGAACUGACUCCAAAAUAAAAAUUUGUGGUUAAACUUAUAUAGUUUUGUAAUUAAAAAAAAUUCUCAGGCUAAGGGUGCAGCUCAAUGGUAAAGCACUUGUGUAGCUUUUGUGAGAACUCGAGUUCAAUGCCUAGUGCAUGUGUGUGCACACAAAAAAUUUCUAUUAUAUAUUCCAAAACAUCACAAUAGUUGUCUCUGUCUAGCUGAUAUUAUUUUAAAUCACACAUUUUCCUUUUCUAAGUAUUUUUCUUAAUUUGGAGAUCAUAUAAAAAUCAGAUAGCAUUCUCUAUGGGGAAAAAAUCCCUUGGACAGUUUAGAAGAACAUGUAUACUUUAAGCACAGUUUAAUAAACAUUUGAGUACUACCUCAGACUAGGUACUCUUCGAGAUAGCCCAAUUCUACAGUAUUACCUCAUGUAGCUCUCAGUAUGAGUGGGGAGAAAAAGAGGAUACCUAAUCUUUAGGUGGAGGAAAGAGUUCCAAGAGGAGGGACAACUAAACCCAGUCCUGUAGCACAGUAGAAGUAGUUGACCACAGGAAAGAAGGGGAAAUGCUGGGUGAGCAGAGGGAGCAAUAUAGAAGGUAGCAUGGGAUUUACCAGGAGUUUGGUUUUAUUAUUUAAGUGUCAAGCUGGCUUCCAGGAGCCAAAGCUAAAGGGGUAGGACAGAGGUAACUGCUUCAGAGAACUGUUUUUCAAAUGGAGAGGGAGGAGAAACAUGGUUGGAUUUAAACUGUAGGUAGAGCACUUUAUGUAGUACUGUGGAGGACAGACUUAGGAAAGCAAGACAAAGUGAAGUAAACCAGGUAGAAGGCCUCCGCAGACUCCAGAGAGAAUCCAUGAGGGGGUAACUGGCUUAAGUGACUAAUUCAUGAUCAGAAAACAAUGAGCAGAAUUUAUCUUUAAAUUCUGUGCCUUCCUACACCCUGGUGUAAGCACAAAUUCUGGCCAAAAUUGAAAAGAGAUCUUAAUUUUAUCUUUAUUAUGUAAACUAUGGAUAUAUUUCUUAAAAAUACUUCGUUCAUUAAUUUAUCUUAAGUACCAAAAUGUUCAGCACACUGCAGAAAACAAGUCAUCUUCUGUCUUGUAGGAAUUUAUGGGAUAAAAGAAAUGAGAAAAAAAGAAUAGGUAAAAUAAUUCAAUAGUUAUUUACUGAAAUCCUCCUGAACCCUGAUGGAGAUAACAUUUUAAAGACAGUUCCUUUUAGGACAUAAUUUUUAUGGCCUUCUUUGCUUUCCUGAGGAGUUCAUUGUGGCACAAGCGAACAGAGAAUUCACAGAGCCAAGUAGGCAAUUCUAGGGUAAAAUAAACAGAAGCACAGGGUCAGGGAAAAUUUGCUUGAAUGGGAUAAGAGAAAAAUCCCAAAGAAUGGUAUAGGUGGCAGUGAUAUGGAGAGGAGCCUGGAACUGACUUUGGCACAUGACAAAUGAUUUCUGGUUUUUGUUUUAAAUAGGUUUAAUCAUGAUAGAAGUAAUGACUAUAGAAGUAAGACAUACUGGAAUAAAGUCAGAAAGACAAAGAAAGCAACAAAGAUCAAAGAGGUAGUGUCAAUGUGACAAAAAAUAUCCUUUUUGGGUUUAAACAUAUAUAUAUAUAUAUACACACAUGAACAGGCAUGAGUUUUUUUGUGUAUUUCUUUAAAACAAAAGUGAGAUUAUAGCUUAUUUCCUGUUUUCCCCAUUUAGUAUGAACAAACUUCUUUCCAUGAAAAUAAAAAUCCAUUAUCACACAAACUUAUAUACAAUACUAAAUUUAUUUAUUCAAUUCUCUAUUAAGGUACACCAGGCUGUGUAAGAUACAGAAAGGAAGCAAGAAGCAAAUGCUAAAACUGACAACAGCUGUGAUAGGAUUCUGAAUUCUAAAGGUGGAAAGAGGUAGGAGAUAUAGAAGCUCAAGAGAUUUUAGUGCUCCAGACACAGAUGAAUAAUGUCUGAAACAGGAAUUCUUUGUGGAUGAAGAAUAAUUUCCAAAAGGAAAACAAAAAAAAAAAAAGAAAAAAGAAAGAAAGACUGUAACACACUAAAAAUGAAGUAAUUUCAAAUCUUCACAUCUGCAGAACAGAUAGAAUGUCAGAGAACUCAGACAACUAAAAAGAGUGGGUGGAAUGCCAGGAAAAAAAAAAAAAAAACAAGCGUUGUUCUAAUGAUCAUCCACAACCACAGUUUUGCAA